Molecule: long non-coding RNA, 1216 nt
Filed under: Lathyrus oleraceus (garden pea)
Lineage: Eukaryota; Viridiplantae; Streptophyta; Magnoliopsida; Fabales; Fabaceae
Description: Pisum sativum (pea) long non-coding RNA (PSAT_LNC029808)
Source: RNAcentral
CAGGCCCAGGCUUGGGGGUAUAGUGGACAGAAUGUGCCCAAACGGAUAGGCCAAGGGUUCCUGACCCAAUCCAUGGCCUGAGAGGAGUUAGGCGGGUGUAGCAUAAGAUUAGGGGUGGGAAUCCCAAUCCAUUCGUUCAGCAUAGUGGACCUUAAAGCGUAAUAUGAAAUGGAUUUAAAAAACCAUAGGAACUCUCUAAUCAGAUGCGACCGAAUCAAUCGUUUUGAUUAACUCUCCGCCUCGGCAUCACGGCUGCAGAUUUGGAAUGUCAGAGUUGCAUCGUGAUUCGGCCUCAAUCAUCAUCGUGUUCAAGCUUCAACAUCAUCUCGCAGUCUCAAAUCCGCAUCAAUAACUCAGCUCGAGAUUCAUCAUUUCCGCGCGUACAAACGGAGAGAACGGAAUUGAAAUUAAAGCGAGGAACUCACCGGUUCGACGUGGCGUUAGUUGGUUUUGCUUUCUGUUUGUGUUAGUUUGCAGUGCAUAGGUGAGGUUUUGAUCAUGUGUUUGUGUUAUUGUGGCUUAUGGUGGAAUUCAUAUUGAUGUUUUGUUAAUGAAAAUUAUGCAUUGUGGCUUAUCUGUGUUGAUUUUCUGCUACAUGUUUUCAUGUCCUGCAUUUGGAUUAUUUUGAAAUUCCCUUGUUGUGUGAUUGUGUUAUGAGUUUAGUUGGUGUUUCUGUUAAGACAAUUGGAGUUUAAUUAGUUAAGACAAAAUGAGAUGCUGUAAUAACCGCUAUUAUGAUGAAAUCCAUAUUAUGUUUUGACUGUAAUUGUUGUGAAGUGGAUUUUAUGGGAUUGAAUAUUAAUGUCAAAAGGUUGUUUUAAAACAAAUCUCAUUCUUUCCAUGAUUUGCAGCAUGUUUGUGGGACUAUUAAUGAUUGGUGAUGAAGUGAAAGCUUUCAAGAUUUGUGAAGGAUAGAUUGGAUUGCUAUGGACUUUGGUCAUGUUGUAACUUUUGUCGAUUGAAUGUAUUAGAAAUUUACUUUGUAUGUAUAUGGUUGAAAUAGUUUAAUAUAUAUUUGGAAUUGAAUGAUGGGGUUUAUGUAAAUGUCUGGAAGGGAUUUGAAGAUCAACUUGAAAUGGUUUUAUGGAAUUUCAAAUUGAAAUGCUUGAAUGUAAAUUUGUAAAUACUAUGAAUGUACAUUUGUAAUUUUGGCAAUGAAUUUAAAUGUUAAAUUUGGAUAUUCUAUAAUAUUUGAUGGUAUUUAGAUUUGGUUUAA